UUAAGUGUCGUAAGGGCAUUUGGUGGAUGCCUUGGCAUGCACAGGCGAUGAAGGACGUGAUACGCUGCGAAAAGCCGUGGGGAGCUGCGAAUAAGCUUUGAUCCAUGGAUCUCCGAAUGGGGCAACCCACCUUAAAUGCUUGGAAAAUCCAAACUGAGUUUAGGCUCGGCUUGGGUUUCCAAGCAUUGUGAUAAGGUAUCUACACCUGAAUACAUAGGGUGUAAGAAGCGAACGCAGGGAACUGAAACAUCUAAGUACCUGCAGGAAAGGACAUCAACCGAGACUCCGCAAGUAGUGGCGAGCGAACGCGGACCAGGCCAGUGGCAAUAGUGAUUAAAGUGGAACAAGCUGGAAAGCUUGGCCGUAGUGGGUGACAGCCCCGUACGCGUAGAUAUCAUUAUUGUCCUAGAGUAGGGCGGGGCACGUGAAACCCUGUCUGAACAUGGGGAGACCACUCUCCAAGCCUAAGUACUCGUGCAUGACCGAUAGCGAACAAGUACCGUGAGGGAAAGGUGAAAAGCACCCCGACAAGGGGAGUGAAAUAGAACCUGAAACCGGAUGCCUACAAACAGUCGGAGCCCGCAAGGGUGACGGCGUACCUUUUGUAUAAUGGGUCAACGACUUAGUGUAACAAGCAAGCUUAAGCCGGUAGGUGUAGGCGAAGCGAAAGCGAGUCUGAAUAGGGCGAUUUAGUUUGUUGCAUUAGACCCGAAACCGAGUGAUCUAGCCAUGAGCAGGUUGAAGGUUGGGUAACACCAACUGGAGGACCGAACCCGCAUCUGUUGCAAUAGAUUGGGAUGACUUGUGGCUAGGGGUGAAAGGCCAAUCAAACUCGGAAAUAGCUGGUUCUCCGCGAAAUCUAUUUAGGUAGAGCGUCGAGCGAAUACCCCGGGGGGUAGAGCACUGGAUGGGCUAUGGGGACUCACCGUCUUACUGAUCCUAACCAAACUCCGAAUACCCGGGAGUACUACUCGGCAGACACACGGCGGGUGCUAACGUCCGUCGUGAAAAGGGAAACAACCCAGACCCGCAGCUAAGGUCCCAAAAUCAUCGCUGAGUGGAAAACGAUGUGGAAAGGCACAGACAGCCAGGAGGUUGGCUUAGAAGCAGCCAUCAUUUAAAGAAAGCGUAACAGCUCACUGGUCUAAAUAAGGGUCUUUGCGCCGAAAAUGUAACGGGGCUGAAGCCAUGCACCGAAGCUGAGGAUUUGCAGCAAUGCAAGUGGUAGCGGAGCGUUCCGUAAGCCUGUGAAGGGACAGUCGUGAGACAUCCUGGAGGUAUCGGAAGUGCGAAUGCUGACAUGAGUAACGAUAAAGAGGGUGAGAGACCCUCUCGCCGAAAGACCAAGGGUUCCUGCUUAAAGUUAAUCUGAGCAGGGUUAGCCGGCCCCUAAGACGAGGCGGACACGCGUAGUCGAUGGGAACCACGUUAAUAUUCGUGGGCCUGGUGGUAGUGACGGAUUGCGUAACUUGUUCAUUCUUAUUGGAUUGAGUGGGCAGGGAAGCGGUUCCAGGAAAUAGCUCCACCGUAUAGACCGUACCCGAAACCGACACAGGUGGUCAGGUAGAGUAUACCAAGGCGCUUGAGAGAACUAUGUUGAAGGAACUCGGCAAAUUGCACGCGUAACUUCGGAAGAAGCGUGACCCCAUUUUACGCAAGUGAGAUGGGGUGGCACAGACCAGGGGGUAGCGACUGUUUAUCAAAAACACAGGGCUCUGCGAAGUCGCAAGACGACGUAUAGGGUCUGACGCCUGCCCGGUGCUGGAAGGUUAAGAGGAGAGGUGCAAGCUUUGAAUCGAAGCCCCAGUAAACGGCGGCCGUAACUAUAACGGUCCUAAGGUAGCGAAAUUCCUUGUCGGGUAAGUUCCGACCUGCACGAAUGGCGUAAC
This 1889-nucleotide ribosomal RNA is filed under the name Rhizobacter sp. JGI 0001007-A16. RNAcentral describes it as "bacterial LSU rRNA". It matches the Rfam family "Bacterial large subunit ribosomal RNA", at positions 1 to 2005 of the family's 2925-position model. Lineage: Bacteria; Pseudomonadati; Pseudomonadota; Betaproteobacteria; Burkholderiales; Sphaerotilaceae. The record is from RNAcentral.